Molecule: transfer RNA, 72 nt
Filed under: Acaryochloris sp. CCMEE 5410
Lineage: Bacteria; Bacillati; Cyanobacteriota; Cyanophyceae; Acaryochloridales; Acaryochloridaceae
Also listed under: 2 other names
Description: tRNA-Gln
Rfam family: tRNA
About the family: Transfer RNA (tRNA) molecules are approximately 80 nucleotides in length. Their secondary structure includes four short double-helical elements and three loops (D, anti-codon, and T loops). Further hydrogen bonds mediate the characteristic L-shaped molecular structure. tRNAs have two regions of fundamental functional importance: the anti-codon, which is responsible for specific mRNA codon recognition, and the 3' end, to which the tRNAs corresponding amino acid is attached (by aminoacyl-tRNA synthetases). tRNAs cope with the degeneracy of the genetic code in two manners: having more than one tRNA (with a specific anti-codon) for a particular amino acid; and 'wobble' base-pairing, i.e. permitting non-standard base-pairing at the 3rd anti-codon position.
Source: RNAcentral
UGCCGAGUGGACGAAUAGCAAGUCGCCUGACUCUGAAUCAGGAGGUUGUAGGUGCGAAUCCUACCUCGGCAU